Molecule: unclassified non-coding RNA, 504 nt
Filed under: Artemisia dracunculoides
Lineage: Eukaryota; Viridiplantae; Streptophyta; Magnoliopsida; Asterales; Asteraceae
Description: partial external transcribed spacer
Source: RNAcentral
UUCCUGACUUUCCCAUCGUUCGGGGCAUUCUGGGGCUGUUUUGGCUAUUGGUUGCUUGUUUGGUCUUGAGCUGAAUGGGUGGCUUCUAGUCUGGUGGCUUCGGGGAUGUUGACCGUAAAGGUGGAUGAGUGGUGUUUGGUUUGUUACGUGUGGUUGGCUGCGGCGUUUGCAACAACUUCCAUGCUUUCAGACCUCUUCAGUUGUGCGGCAAGGCUUGUAUUGCCUUGAGCGUAUUGUGGGUUUUCUGUGUUGGCUACCUAAUCAACGGUAUCGUUUGGAUUGAUCAAAGUUUGAUUUCGUCUUCCGUCGCGUUUGCGGCGUGAGGUGAACCUUGAUGCGGUCUCUUUGAUCCAUCUCGUCGAAGCACAUGCUUUGACGUUGUGGCACAUUGAGCAUUGCUUGGUGUCUUGUAUACGGAACACGUAGUGGGCAUGGAUCUAACGAUUCUUGUUUGCCCUCAUAUUAGCGUAACGCUUCUCUAACACGACUUGCAUCACGUUUUAG